This 1057-nucleotide long non-coding RNA is filed under the name Anolis carolinensis (green anole). RNAcentral describes it as "lncRNA (ENSACAG00000040252.1)". Lineage: Eukaryota; Metazoa; Chordata; Lepidosauria; Squamata; Anolidae. The record is from RNAcentral.
CCAAAAGAUCUCAGCCAGCAUUUGGAAACAAUAGACAUUGACAAAAUUAUGAUCUGCCAACUGCAAAAGGCCACCCUACUGGGAUCUGCGCACAUCAUCCAAAAAUACAUCACACAGUCCUAGACACUUGGGAAGUGUUCGACUUGUGAUUUUGUGAUACGAAAUCCAGCAUAUCUAUCUUGUUUGCUGUGUCAUAAUAAAACAAUAAUAAAUUAUUGGUGGAAUUGUUUUGAAGGUAAGGCUGAAAUUUUAAUUUAUGGGGACAUUUUGAUUUUUCUGGUGUAUUAUUGUAGUAAAGAUGUAUUUUUGUUGUUGUCAUUGUUGUUAAAUGGUUUCCUGCAGAAGUGGCGGUCAGGGGUGCUUAUUAUCAGCUUUGGUUGACAUGCCAGUUGCCCCUUCCUAGAAUUAGAAGACCUAAAUAUGAUAGCGCAUGUGCCCCAAGAUUGGACUUCUGCGAUGUGUUGUACAUUGGACUACCUCUGCGGCAAGUUUGGAAACUCCAGUUAGCUGAAAACAUGGUAGCCUGACUGGUUAUGGGCAUAUUAUACCCUACACCUAAAUCACUCCACUAGUUGCCAAUUAGUUUCUGGGCAAAGGAUGAGCAUUGGUUAUUACCUUUAAAGCCCUACAUGGUUUGGGUUCAGGUUACCUACAGGAUCACUUUAUCCCAUACAAUCCACCUCAGAUCCCUACAUCCUCUGAGGGAUGCUUACUUCAAUCACUCUGAACCUGGAUGGCAACUAUCUCCCAAACCCAGAGAAUCUUUUCAUUUCCUAGACUGUAGAAUGAUCUGCCAGAAGAAAUCCGUCAAAUGAGUUGUCAGAACCUGAAACACAGUUCCCAUUCCAAUAUAGCACUUUGUCCUGUAUUCAAGAGGAAUUUGACGCGAUUGAAGAUCAAGGAGAAGUCAUGGAAAAAGGCAGGCAAAAAUAAAUUCGCUCCACAGGCCUGCAGGGCAGUGAGGGUGGGAGACGUUAACAAGCCAGACUUUGCACCAAGUCCUUUUCGUUUGAGCCAGUUCCAAAAUUUAGCACAGAAGAACCGCUUAUCACAUUGA